RNAcentral lists this ribosomal RNA (444 nucleotides) under uncultured bacterium. RNAcentral describes it as "partial 16S ribosomal RNA". It matches the Rfam family "Bacterial small subunit ribosomal RNA", at positions 339 to 795 of the family's 1533-position model. The record is from RNAcentral.
CUACGGGCGGCUGCAGUGGGGAAUAUUGCACAAUGGGCGCAAGCCUGAUGCAGCAACGCCGCGUGAGGGAUGAAGGCCUUCGGGUUGUAAACCUCUUUUAGCAGGGAAGAAGCGAAAGUGACGGUACCUGCAGAAAAAGCACCGGCUAACUACGUGCCAGCAGCCGCGGUAAUACGUAGGGUGCAAGCGUUGUCCGGAAUUAUUGGGCGUAAAGAGCUCGUAGGCGGUUUGUCGCGUCUGCUGUGAAAAUCCAAGGCUCAACCUUGGACUUGCAGUGGGUACGGGCAGGCUAGAGUGCGGUAGGGGAGAUGGGAAUUCCUGGUGUAGCGGUGGAAUGCGCAGAUAUCAGGAGGAACACCAAUGGCGAAGGCACAUCUCUGGGCCGUAACUGACGCUGAGAGACGAAAGCUAGGGUAGCGAACAGGAUUAGAUACCCGGAUAGUC